This 497-nucleotide ribosomal RNA is filed under the name uncultured bacterium. RNAcentral's name for it is "partial 16S ribosomal RNA". It matches the Rfam family "Bacterial small subunit ribosomal RNA", at positions 28 to 507 of the family's 1533-position model. The record is from RNAcentral.
GAUGAACGCUGGCGGCGUGCCUAAUACAUGCCAGUCGAGCGAACGGACGAGAAGCUUGCUUCUCUGAUGUUAGCGGCGGACGGGUGAGUAACACGUGGAUAACCUACCUAUAAGACUGGGAUAACUUCGGGAAACCGUAGCUAAUACCGGAUAAUAUUUUGAACCGCAUGGUUCAAAAGUGAAAGACGGUCUUGCUGUCACUUAUAGAUGGAUCCGCGCUGCAUUAGCUAGUUGGUAAGGUAACGGCUUACCAAGGCAACGAUGCAUAGCCGACCCGAGAGGGUGAUCGGCCACACUGGAACUGAGACACGGUCCAGACUCCUACGGGAGGCAGCAGUAGGGAAUCUUCCGCAAUGGGCGAAAGCCUGACGGAGCAACGCCGCGUGAGUGAUGAAGGUCUUCGGAUCGUAAAACUCUGUUAUUAGGGAAGAACAUAUGUGUAAGUAACUGUGCACAUCUUGACGGUACCUAAUCAGAAAGCCACGGCUAACUACGUG